Molecule: long non-coding RNA, 509 nt
Filed under: Zostera marina
Lineage: Eukaryota; Viridiplantae; Streptophyta; Magnoliopsida; Alismatales; Zosteraceae
Description: long non-coding RNA (ZMAR_LNC003089)
Source: RNAcentral
UGGAAUGGGAAGAGCACUACUGAUGUAUUUAUAUAACACCUCUUCUGACCGUGAUCCAUAGAAAGAGCAACUCCGGCACCGGUAAAAUCAUUCAUCAUCAUGUCGACCUACUGCGGAAAAUACACUGGUUAGCGCGCUACCCUGACUAAAUAUUACGACGAUAUCAUCUACGACGAGAGGAAGAACAGACCAGAUUUGCUGAGUGGAAGAACCAAUAUGGAGUACCACCAGAUUCAGCUUGAGGUUCCUUUCCUUUCAGUUCAAGUGAAAUAGUCCUCAACAUUGCAGCCAAACCUUCAUUUCUAUGAGCUGUAAAAGUAAUAAUAAGCAAGCAAAUUUGAGUAGAUUUACUGAAGUUAAUACAAGCUAACUUCUCUGACUUGAUCACCCUUGAGCUUACUCUCGAUUCCAACAGAUUGUAAAUAGAUAUUGCGUAAAUUAGAAAAAAUAACUUCAUAUAAACUGAGAGCAAACAUCAUAUAGCAUUAGAUCGGUAGUUAGGAAGCAAG